UUUGAAAUCUGGCCCUUUAGGGGGUCCGAGUUGUAAUUUGCAGAGGGUGCUUUGGCGUUGGCAGCGGUCUAAGUUCCUUGGAACAGGACGUCACAGAGGGUGAGAAUCCCGUACGUGGUCGCCAGCCUUCGCCGUGUAAAGCCCCUUCGACGAGUCGAGUUGUUUGGGAAUGCAGCUCUAAAUGGGAGGUAAAUUUCUUCUAAAGCUAAAUACUGGCCAGAGACCGAUAGCGCACAAGUAGAGUGAUCGAAAGAUGAAAAGCACUUUGGAAAGAGAGUCAAAAAGCACGUGAAAUUGUUGAAAGGGAAGCGCUUGCAGCCAGACUUGCCUGUAGUUGCUCAGCCGGGCUCCGGCCCGGUGCACUCUUCUGCGGGCAGGCCAGCAUCAGUUCGGGCGGCCGGAUAAAGACCUCUGUCAUGUACCUCCCUCCGGGGAGAACUUAUAGGGGAGGUGAAAUGCGGCCAGUCCGGACUGAGGUCCGCGCAUCUGCUAGGAUGCUGGCGUAAUGGCUGUAAGCGGCCCGUCUUGAAACACGGACCAAGGAGUCUAACAUCUAUGCGAGUGUUUGGGUGUCAAGCCCGAGCGCGUAAUGAAAGUGAACGGAGGUGGGAACCCCUCGGGGUGCACCAUCGACCGAUCCUGAUGUCUUCGGAUGGAUUUGAGUAAGAGCAUAGCUGUUGGGACCCGAAAGAUGGUGAACUAUGCUUGAAUAGGGUGAAGCCAGAGGAAACUCUGGUGGAGGCUCGCAGCGGUUCUGACGUGCAAAUCGAUCGUCAAAUUUGGGCAUAGGGGCGAAAGACUAAUCGAACCAUCUA
This 815-nucleotide ribosomal RNA is filed under the name Corynespora lignicola. RNAcentral's name for it is "Corynespora sp. ZLL-2019a partial large subunit ribosomal RNA". It matches the Rfam family "Eukaryotic large subunit ribosomal RNA", at positions 114 to 946 of the family's 3401-position model. The record is from RNAcentral. Lineage: Eukaryota; Fungi; Ascomycota; Dothideomycetes; Pleosporales; Corynesporascaceae.